UGGUGGGUUGCCUUGUCAGGUUGAUUCCGGUAACGAACGAGACCUCAGCCUGCUAAAUAGUCCCGCCUGGUUCUUCCAGGCGGCCGACUUCUUAGAGGGACUUUCGGCGUUCUAGCCGAAGGAAGUGUGAGGCGAUAACA
This 140-nucleotide ribosomal RNA is filed under the name uncultured eukaryote. RNAcentral's name for it is "partial 18S ribosomal RNA". It matches the Rfam family "Eukaryotic small subunit ribosomal RNA", at positions 1299 to 1458 of the family's 1831-position model. The record is from RNAcentral.